UAAACGCUGGCGGCGUGCAUGAGACAUGCAAGUCGAACGAAGGAUCGGGCUUGCUCGAUCCUUAGUGGCGGACGGCUGAGUAACGCGUAGGUGACCUACCCCGAAGUGGGGAAUAACUGCCCGAAAGGGUGGCUAAUACCGCAUGUGGUCGCACGUUCAUUCGUGCGAGUAAAGCCGCAAGGCGCUUCGGGAGGGGCCUGCGUCCGAUUAGCUCGUUGGUGGGGUAAUGGCUUACCAAGGCGACGAUCGGUAGGUGGUCUGAGAGGACGAUCACCCAGACUGGGACUGAGACACGGCCCAGACUCCUACGGGAGGCAGCAGUCGGGAAUUUUGCUCAAUGGGGGAAACCCUGAAGCAGCAACGCCGCGUGAGGGAUGAAGGCCUUCGGGUUGUAAACCUCUUUUGUCAGGGACGAUGAUGACGGUACCUGGCGAAUAAGCCACGACUAACUACGUG
Molecule: ribosomal RNA, 456 nt
Filed under: uncultured bacterium
Lineage: Bacteria
Description: partial 16S ribosomal RNA
Rfam family: Bacterial small subunit ribosomal RNA
Source: RNAcentral